CUACGGGUGGCUCCAGUGGGGAAUAUUGCACAAUGGGCGCAAGCCUGAUGCAGCAACGCCGCGUGAGGGACGAAGGCCUUCGGGUUGUAAACCUCUUUUAGCAGGGAAGAAGCGAAAGUGACGGUACCUGCAGAAAAAGCACCGGCUAACUACGUGCCAGCAGCCGCGGUAAUACGUAGGGUGCAAGCGUUGUCCGGAAUUAUUGGGCGUAAAGAGCUCGUAGGCGGUUUGUCACGUCUGCUGUGAAAUUUCGAGGCUCAACCUCGAACUUGCAGUGGGUACGGGCAGGCUAGAGUGCGGUAGGGGAGAUGGGAAUUCCUGGUGUAGCGGUGGAAUGCGCAGAUAUCAGGAGGAACACCAAUGGCGAAGGCACAUCUCUGGGCCGUAACUGACGCUGAGGAGCGAAAGCGUGGGGAGCGAACAGGAUUAGAUACCCUUGUAGUC
This 444-nucleotide ribosomal RNA is filed under the name uncultured bacterium. Its description in RNAcentral is "partial 16S ribosomal RNA". It matches the Rfam family "Bacterial small subunit ribosomal RNA", at positions 339 to 795 of the family's 1533-position model. The record is from RNAcentral.